AUGGCGUCCGAGCAGCUGCUGCCAGCCGUGCCGAGGUGGAAGCCGAGCCCGCCGCGGCAGCAGAGCCGCCCGCACGACGACGAGGGGCCGUCCGGCACGGCCUCGGACGCCCUCGGCGGCUCUCUGCGCAGCACCGACGGCUUCCCGUUCGGCAGCGGGAGCUCCUUCCCGCCGCCGCCGUUCGCGCCGAUGCCGGUGACCCUGCCGCGGUCGCGAACGUCUUCCUCGCUCGAGAUCACUGUGGAGAACGGCGCCGCCGGUGCCCCCGCCGUUGUCCGCGAGGCCUCGUUGCGCCGGGUCGACCAGGGCGUCGUGCUCUCGUGGGAGGACCUGUGGGUGUCGGCCGCCGGCGGCAAGGCCGGCCGCGUCCCCAUCCUGCGCGGCCUCAACGGCUACGCGCGCCCCGGCGAGGUGCUCGCCAUCAUGGGGCCCUCCGGCUGCGGCAAAUCUACCCUUCUAGACGCUUUAGCAGGAAGGCUAGGCUCUGGUGUCAACCAGAAGGGAGACAUCUUGAUCAAUGGCCGGAGGCAGAAGCUAUCCUAUGGAACAUCGGCGUACGUGACGCAGGACGACGUGCUGAUGACGACGCUGACGGUGCGGGAGGCGGUGCGGUACUCGGCGUCGCUGCAGCUGCCGAGCGGCAUGUCGGCGGCGGCGAAGCGGGAGCGGGCAGAGGAGACACUGCGGGAGAUGGGGCUGGAAGGCGCGGCAGACACGCGCAUCGGCGGGUGGAUGCACAAGGGGAUCAGCGGCGGCCAGCGGCGCAGGGUCAGCAUCUGCAUGGAGAUCCUCACCCGGCCGGCGCUGCUGUUCCUGGACGAGCCCACCAGCGGCCUCGACAGCGCCGCCUCCUUCCACGUCGUCAGCCGGAUCGCCAGGCUCGCGCGCCGGGAGGGCAUGACCGUCGUCGCCGCCGUGCACCAGCCCAGCACCGAGGUCUACGGCCUCUUCCACGGGCUCUGCCUCCUCGCCUACGGCAAGACCGUCUUCUUUGGUCCCGCCGCCGAGACUAACCAGUUCUUUGCUCUGAGCGGGUUUCCUUGCCCGUCGCUAAUGAACCCUUCCGAUCACUUCCUGAGGACCAUCAACAAGGACUUCGACAACGACAUCGAGGAAGGCCUCCACGGGAAGAAGACGACCACCGCCGAGAACAUCGACGCGCUGGCGGUCUCCUACAAAUCAUCCAUGCAUAUGGACAAGGUGACUCGGCAGAUCGCCAACAUACGCAGCACUGGAGGGGAGGUGGUGAAGAUGGAAGGGCAGCAGCCGAGCUUCCUGAUGCAAUCCUUCGUGCUGACCAAGAGGUCUUUCACCAACAUGUACAGGGACCUCGGCUAUUACUGGCUCCGCUUCGCCAUCUACAUCGCCCUCUGCCUCUGCUGCGGCACCAUCUUCUAUGACAUCGGCCACAACUACGGAUCCAUCCAGGCUCGUGGCUCCAUGCUCAUGUUCGUCGGUGCCUUCCUCACCUUCAUGGCCAUCGGAGGCUUCCCAUCUUUCGUCGAGGACAUGAAGAUAUUUGGAAGGGAGAGGUUGAACGGGCACUACGGUGUCUCGUCGUUCGUGAUCGCCAACACAGUCUCGGCGACACCGUACCUGCUCCUAAUUUCCUUGGUGCCGGGUGCGAUUGCCUACUACCUGGUCGGCCUGCAGAGGAGUUUCGACCACUUCGCCUACUUCGCACUGGUGCUCUUCAUGACCAUGAUGCUCGUGGAGGGCCUGAUGAUGAUUGUGGCCAGCGCAGUGCCAGACUUCCUCAUGGGCAUCAUCACCGGCGCUGGCAUCCAAGGCGUCAUGAUGCUCAAUGGCGGUUUCUUCCGGCUGCCCCACGACCUGCCCAAGCCGGUGUGGAGGUAUCCCAUGUACUAUGUCGCCUUCCACAAGUAUGCCAACCAGGGGUUCUACAAGAAUGAGUUCCUUGGCCUCACCUUCCCGAACAACCAGGCUGGCGGCGCUGCCACCAUCACUGGCGACCAGAUCCUCAGGGACUACUGGCAGGUGGAAAUGGGGUAUAACAAGUGGGUCGACCUCGCGGUCCUGUUCGGGAUGGUCAUAUUGUACAGGGUGCUCUUCUUGGCCAUCAUGAAGCUUGCCGAGAAGGUGAAACCCAUGGUGAACGGGCUCAGGUUCAGGAGCACCCAGCCGUCGGUGCACAUCGCCGACCAGGGUUCCAAAGCAAAUGGAGCAAUGUGA
Molecule: ribosomal RNA, 2193 nt
Filed under: Triticum aestivum (bread wheat)
Lineage: Eukaryota; Viridiplantae; Streptophyta; Magnoliopsida; Poales; Poaceae
Description: partial small subunit ribosomal RNA
Source: RNAcentral